GGGGAGAGCCCCUUUGAAUGCAGUGAGUGUGGGAAAACCUUCAGUUGCAGCUGGAACCUUAUUAGGCAUCAGAAAAUCCACACAAGUGAGAGAACCUAUGAAAGCAGUGAGUGUGGGAAAACCUUAGGGCCCAAAGAAAUUUUGUCCAACUCCACUUCCUAGUUCAGUGUGUCUCAUUACCGUUCCAGAGGAUACCAGGGUUAGAUUGAGAACAACCAUCCUUCACCGUUUGGAUGCAAAGAGAGAGUGCUUCAUAGGACAGUCCUUCCCUGUGGAUCCCAAACUGGCUGCCUGGUUGGGUAACAAGGACUUUCAGGCUGUAGAAAUGAUGGUAACCAAUGAGGCAAUGAAUGUGUCAAGCUCCAAUUUCAGACUUCUGGAUACUCGCAUGCUGAGUCCUGAUUCCAAGGUUUUGUGUCUGACGCUCUGGCUACACAAUAAAGCUGAUGUUGGUGCAGCUGUAGCACUGCUAUUACAGAUGCUCUCCACCAAUGGGAGAAAUCUCUUCCCUAGGACUUUAUUAGUCCAGCCCCCACAAGUGGUGGUGGCUAUGUCGGCAGGCAAAGCUCUCCUGCUGAUGUAGUGUUAUUUCACAGGGGAGGAGGGUUUUGUAACUACAUUUCUCACCAGUGUGUAUUUUUCAUACCUCUGAGAAAUAGAGUUACACCAAUAAAUGUCUUUAGUGUAGACUAGACCUUAGUUUUCUCUUGUUUUAUGUAUUUACAUCACUUCUCUUUGAAAGAUUAAAAAGUGUGACAAGAGAGUUAUUUUCCCCCAUGAUGCAAACAUUCCUAUAUAAGAAACCCCUUCCACCAACACACAUGGCAAAAGAGCCAGGGAUAUAUGAACUCACAUGUAGUGUAAGGAGUUCUGGUAGAAAACCUCCCUCCAAAGGCUGAGAUGGGAGAAUGUGUGUGAGAAAGAGUGUAUGAGAAUAUUGGCCCAGUAUAGAUUUAAAUUUUUUGUAUUUCAGAUAAACUUUGAAGCUAAGCAAAAUACGUUCUAUUUCUAUUAAAAGGAAAACUACUCGAGGAGACAAGUUGUAUAACUUUUUACCCACUUAGCCUGUAAGGGUCACUGAGUUCCCCACGUCUCUAAUUUGCAAAGGAAAGGCCUGACAUCUGUCAUAGGAUGUGUCUAACAGGGCUCUUUAAUCCGGUUUCUGUACUCCACCUCAGCAAGUGGAGUAGUGCUAAAAUCGAGAUUGCAGUUCCGAAUUAGAGGUACUGUGGACACAAUUUGACAUUAUUGGCAUCCGGGAGCUAUCCCAGAAUGCUUCCUUGUGACCACUCUGGACAACACUCUCAACUCCGAUGUACUUGCCAGGAGUUGCAGGGAGAAUGACUUUUUGGAGGAUGAAGAGGAGAAGGAGGAGGACAGUGCACAAGCGACAAGUGGGGAAUCCGUUUUCCCCUAUCAAGGUUCCCUCCCCACUCUGAACUUUAGGGUAC
Mauremys reevesii (Reeves's turtle) is the source of this 1451-nucleotide long non-coding RNA. RefSeq lists it as uncharacterized. NCBI's taxonomy places the organism in Eukaryota, Metazoa, Chordata, Testudines, Geoemydidae. The record is from RefSeq and is a predicted model, not a curated record. The transcript is spliced from 3 exons.